UGCAAAAUAAGCUAAGUAGACAAGCUAGUGGGCUCAUAACCCGAAUAUGAAUAUAUCAAUUCUUUUGCAG
This 70-nucleotide transfer RNA is filed under the name Calyptraea chinensis. Its description in RNAcentral is "tRNA-Met". The record is from RNAcentral. Lineage: Eukaryota; Metazoa; Mollusca; Gastropoda; Littorinimorpha; Calyptraeidae.